This 430-nucleotide ribosomal RNA is filed under the name uncultured Actinomycetes bacterium. Its description in RNAcentral is "bacterial SSU rRNA". It matches the Rfam family "Bacterial small subunit ribosomal RNA", at positions 1 to 439 of the family's 1533-position model. The record is from RNAcentral. Lineage: Bacteria; Bacillati; Actinomycetota; Actinomycetes.
CUAGAGUUUGAUCCUGGCUCAGGACAAACGCUGGCGGCGCGCCUAACACAUGCAACUCGAGCGAGAACCAACCCUUCGGGGUUGGGGACAGCGGCGAACGGGUGAGUAACACGUGGGUAACCCACCCUCGGUUCUGGGAUAGCCCGGGGAAACCCGGAUUAAUACCGGAUGGCCCAACAGCCCUUCGGGGCGGUUGGAAAAGGUAGCUUCGGCCUCCGACCAAGGACGGGCCCGCGGCGGAUUAGCUUGUUGGUGGGGUAACGGCCCACCAACGCGACGAUCCCUAGCUGGUCUGACAGGACGAUCAACCCCACUGGGAGUGAGACACGCCCCCCACUCGUAGCGGACGCACAAGAGCCGAAUCUUACAAUAUUGGAAUUAAAUCUCACAAUUCAAUAUUGAAUAGAAUUGAAAUGGAAAUUCAAUCAAG